CCGAUGCAAUGAUGAUUGCAUAGUUCAGCAGAUAACCAUGAAGAAGAAACGAAAGUCUUUCGCUCCUAACUGAUGCAAAGG
Small nucleolar RNA from Mastacembelus armatus (zig-zag eel), 81 nucleotides. Ensembl annotates it as small nucleolar RNA snR60/Z15/Z230/Z193/J17. The record is from Ensembl. NCBI's taxonomy places the organism in Eukaryota, Metazoa, Chordata, Actinopteri, Synbranchiformes, Mastacembelidae.